Molecule: transfer RNA, 82 nt
Filed under: Rhodotorula toruloides MTCC 457
Lineage: Eukaryota; Fungi; Basidiomycota; Microbotryomycetes; Sporidiobolales; Sporidiobolaceae
Description: tRNA-Leu (TAA) (tRNA-Leu-TAA-1-1)
Rfam family: tRNA
About the family: Transfer RNA (tRNA) molecules are approximately 80 nucleotides in length. Their secondary structure includes four short double-helical elements and three loops (D, anti-codon, and T loops). Further hydrogen bonds mediate the characteristic L-shaped molecular structure. tRNAs have two regions of fundamental functional importance: the anti-codon, which is responsible for specific mRNA codon recognition, and the 3' end, to which the tRNAs corresponding amino acid is attached (by aminoacyl-tRNA synthetases). tRNAs cope with the degeneracy of the genetic code in two manners: having more than one tRNA (with a specific anti-codon) for a particular amino acid; and 'wobble' base-pairing, i.e. permitting non-standard base-pairing at the 3rd anti-codon position.
Source: RNAcentral
GCUCAGAUGGUCGAGUGGUUAAGACGUGAGAUUUAAGUCCUCAUUGCGAAAGCAAUCGUGGGUUCGAGUCCCACUCUGAGCA